Molecule: long non-coding RNA, 1327 nt
Organism: Dermochelys coriacea (leatherback sea turtle)
Lineage: Eukaryota; Metazoa; Chordata; Testudines; Dermochelyidae
Exons: 3
Source: RefSeq, a predicted model, not a curated record
UUCAUGUUUUCUCUAUUUUUCUGCUCCUUUAUCUCCCAAUGUCUCUAAUUCUUUUUCAGGACAAAUAUACAACAAAAAGUCAGAGCAGGGGGAAACGCACAAGAAGAAAACCCACUGAAGGAACAUCUAACAGAUGAUACCCUGCAGAAUUCCAAAGGCUGACAUACAUGUCAUGUCCUGCCUGAAGUCAUAAGGACUACAUGAAAUGCAAAACAGGAAUUUGGUCCAGAAGGCCUAUGGCAAAAAAGAGGAAACAACGAGAAUGGAAAGUUACUAUUAAAAAAGUGAGUAUGUUUUCUAUCAAGAUGCAAAAUACUCGACAUUUUAAAGCAAAUGAAAAUGGUAAAGAAGAGAAAGGGAACAAGAAGAAAAAUUUAUCCAUGGAUUAUGAAGGCAAAGAUAUAUAGAACUACAAGAUACCUCUCAAACUAGAAAGGGAACUGAAAGGGUGUAAUUCGCUUUUUGUUGUUGUUUACACUCACCACAACCAGAAAGACAUCCUGACAGAAAUGCCAACAGACAACACUCCUCCUACAGCCACCAGGAAGAAAAUAAUGCAAGUUUAGAGAAUAACUCUUGCAAUCUAUAGUUCUCACCUGGGCACACGUUUGUCACUCUUAUCUGCAGGGUCCUUGUAACAGUUUGGAUUUUCUCUCUUGACGAGUGCUCCUGAGUCAAGGUACUCUGGACACAGAAUCCCAAGGCUGGGGAUCUGUAUUUAAUUACUUAUCUUGGGAGCUUUGGGAUUAAACCUGAUCCUUAAAUUUAUGUUGCAGCAAUUGCCACCUUUAUUUUUCUGUUUUCCCACAACAGCAACACAACAGUGUCACUGCAGAGAUCUGAUGCACCAGACAUUACUCCUUGCACCUACUAAUUCCCUACUUCCUAAAAAUUUAAAAAAAACCUUUAUCUUUCUUCAGAAAGGUUUGUUAAUGUUUAAAAUGGAAAAAGGAAAAGCACUGUCAUAUAAAGCAAAUAUCUACAUUUCAAAAAGCUCAACAAAAGCAUCUCAGAUGAAAAUUCCAUUUAAGACCCCUUAAACUAGAAAAAGUGUUCUUAAUUAUUUGCAUAUUUUCCUUUAAAGUCCUGUAUAAACUGACCAAUCUGAUAUAAUGGGGAUCAAAUACUUGUCUUUUCAAAGCUGCUCUCUGUUGUUGUUGAGAUUAUGUUAACAUGCUAUUUUGUUGCAAUGAAAAUGGCCAUGUAUGUUGCUAAGAAAAAAAUAUGGAUCCUUCCUUAAGACAAAUGUUAUUUACUUGUGGCCAUGUUAUUUAGUAAAUUGAUCUACUUUGCAUAUUUAGGGUGUCAGUAUACAUAUAAACUUAAU